CAUCCCCGACCCCGUCGUCUCCUUCGCGAACCCUGCCUGAAACCCUCGACAAACAACAGAAAUGGAAACCAUGCCAAAUCUCUCACCCAAACACCAAAUCAAACCUACGCUUGAAGCAAAGUACACCAAAAUUCACCCAAAUUCGUUCAUUUCUGCGGAUUCAAAGCACUACACAGAUAAAUAGAAGGCUUCUACAACAAUUAGUUCACGGCAGAAAUAGAGUCUUCAAUCCUAGAUUAGGAAAGAUCCCACUCCAUCAGGAUAUUUUCCAAAAACGCACAAGGAUUUCGAAUCUAAAAAGGAAAACACAACAACGAAAGGAAGUUCAGGCCCUAAAAUACUUUUGAAGAAGAGAUAAGUAUUUGAUAUUUCUUACGAACUAAGUACAGAAAUGCAAUAAGUUGUAAUAGUUUAGAGCUAAAUAUCUGAUUUUUAAUAGCAAACAAAACACAAUUGUGUGCUAUUUAAGUUCUAUUCAGUUUACGUUUACAACCCUCAUAUCUACAUUGUGCUAUUUAAUACCAUAUGUUGGAAACAUGACUAUUAAAUAUCAUUUUCAACUUAAACUGCAGUGUGAAUAUUAACUGUUAUGCCAUUUUUAAUCAUACAUACACCAGUUUGUUAAAUACGGUUAAGAUUAGUGGUAUGAUGUUUUGAUAUUAAAUAGGUAUCAUGCUGGUAUGAUGUUUUGAUAUUAAAUAGGUAUCAUGCUGGAAAUGGACACACUGUGUUAAUCUGGCUUUCAUUGCAUUGAAGAUGACAAAUUAAAAUUAUUUUCAGGAAGCCAUUAUCUGUUGUUGUACUUGAUAGGCCUUCCAGAUUGAGAGUUACAGUACAUUUCAUGACUUGAAUCAUAAACUCUUAAUUAGGCAAUGUUUUUGCAGAACUUAAAGCCUGUACAUGGUAUGAUAAAACAACCAUAAUAACAUAGCUUGACUUACCUGAUUAGCUUGUCGUAUAGCUAUUCUCGAUCCCAAAUAUCCAUUUGACUGUCUUGGUUAACACUUUUCAAAUAUCCAUUGUUGAUGCAGAUUAAGAGAGAAAGAACACAUACCUCUUCGUCGUGGAAGACGACUUCUUUACUCUUUAUUUUGGACUAACCUUUUCUUUCCAUGACCAAGUAUGUAGGAAUGACCUUUAGCUUCACAGCACUCCUCCUGUACUUGAAGGAAGGUUGAUAACUCAUUCGCAAAACAGGACAAACCCAUACUGGAAUGCAAGUCUGAUAAUCAAAAGAAAUUUUAUUCUUUUGCGAAUUCGAUAGUUCAACAUGUAAUAUAUAGUCUGUAAUAUAAGUCUAACACUCAAAGAGUUCUGGAUGUACAUUAAUUCUCUUCUUAGUUCCCGAUAAAAGUCCCCUCGAUUCUCGAAUUGUUUUUACCGAUUCGACUUCCUAAACAAA
Molecule: long non-coding RNA, 1402 nt
Organism: Ipomoea triloba (trilobed morning glory)
Lineage: Eukaryota; Viridiplantae; Streptophyta; Magnoliopsida; Solanales; Convolvulaceae
Exons: 4
Source: RefSeq, a predicted model, not a curated record